CAGAAAAUGUUGCAAGAGCACCCUUUUGGCAGGUCAGACCUCAGAGUAGAAGUGGAUCAGCAGAAUAAGACACUCGGGUAUCUUUAUGGCAAGCUAGAAGUAUGGAGAAUCCCGAAUUGCAUCACAUUUGUCAAGCUGGUGAUUAAUCACUAAAGAUAUAAGAUGGGAUUUCGUGGCGUGAAAGAGAGGGACAAGUCAGUAUGACCAAAAGUUUCAAUCAAUUCGCUUUCAAGUUCUGCCGAGUCCAAAGGCUCAUAAGUUGGGUUGCCCCUAGGUUCUGGAGAGGGCAGAAGAAAAGAGUGUCCCAAGCUUACGAAACCUCCAAAUUCAAGAUGCGUGGUUAUAACAAGAUGGAUGGGCAUGGAAGUAUCAUUAUAUGUUUGAUCUUACGAUGGUCAGCCAUCAAAGGAUUUGGUUAUAACAAUAUCUGGUUGUAUUUCUUCAAGUUGCAAAAAAAUUUGCAAAGUCAUGCCUCAACCCUCAAAGUUGCAGUGGCUGGUUUCCUCAAGACAUGAUAACUAUCGGAAAAAUCAAACCAAGUUUAUGAGCAGGCCAGGGUGCAGAAAGGAAUUGAAUUGGUGCUGUCAAGCUAAUUAGUGCUAUGAUUUUAUGCUGGCAUUGUGGAAUCCAUUUGACUGAUUGAUGUUGGUGCUGUUAGAGUUUUACCUUAUUAACUAGUUAGUGGAUGAAGCUUUUCUUGCCUUGGAACACCAGAAAGAAUAAGUACAUGUGCAUGGCCCAAAGUGUAAAAAUUGAAAUCGCUUUCGAGAUUCCAUCAAGUGACAGAAAUAUGCUACAUGAGGGAAUGGCAUGCAUAGGUUUUUCAACUGUGCAGUGGAAGCUGAAGCAGCUGUUCAGAAUUUCAAACUUGUUGUUUUGUCAAACCAACAGCAUAUCACUUCUGGCUGAACUGUUCUCAUUUCCACUUGAAAGUGAUCUAUAGUCAACUUGCUGAGAUGCACAAACUCCGUACUUCCUUUCUUAUGGAAUUGGACUAGUACUCACGAAUGAAGCUAAUGUGCUGCUGAUUAUGCUGCAAAUUAAGCUUGCUAAACAAAGGAUGUGCAGCAAAUGUGGAUUCCAUUAACAUCAAACUUCUCUCGUACUGAUUUGUGCUUCGUACCUAUUUUUGUCCUUGAACCGUCGGGGCUUGCAUUGCAAGCUAGUUUUUAUUUUCUUACAUUCCCAAUGUUUCUCUGUGUUUCCAUUGUAUUCAUUUUUUCUUUAAUGAAGUACAAUUUUGGGCCAAACCAAAAUGGGUGUAAUAGUUGUACUAUUAAGACAUUAAUGUAAGGCAAGACCAAGACCCCAUUGCAAUGGGUUCCAGAGUAUUACUAGUUAUUUAUAUCGCUGGAACUGAAAAUGUGA
Molecule: long non-coding RNA, 1368 nt
Organism: Rosa chinensis
Lineage: Eukaryota; Viridiplantae; Streptophyta; Magnoliopsida; Rosales; Rosaceae
Exons: 9
Source: RefSeq, a predicted model, not a curated record